GCUGUAGCUCAGUGGUAGAGCCCAUGCUUUGAAUGCAGAAGGUCCUAGCUUCAAUCCCCAGCGUUUCCA
This 69-nucleotide transfer RNA is filed under the name Podarcis lilfordi (Lilford's wall lizard). RNAcentral describes it as "tRNA.Ser". Lineage: Eukaryota; Metazoa; Chordata; Lepidosauria; Squamata; Lacertidae. The record is from RNAcentral.